Long non-coding RNA from Octopus sinensis (East Asian common octopus), 534 nucleotides. RefSeq lists it as uncharacterized. Lineage: Eukaryota; Metazoa; Mollusca; Cephalopoda; Octopoda; Octopodidae. The transcript has 5 exons. The record is from RefSeq and is a predicted model, not a curated record.
GUUUUGUGAAGACGAAGUGGCCACAGAGAAGUUUCUUCCGUGUAAACAUCUUUUGUUAUGUAAGAAAUGCUCUAUCCGAAAGAUACCUAAAUGAUGCCCUAUGUGUGGACAGAAUAUAACAGGCAAAAAUAGUUUGGUUGGUCGGCAUUCAUCGAAGAGGGAAGUCCAGAUGUUGGCAGACUCAGUUGUGUCUCAAAUGUUUGAGGACAAGGGUGUACAAACUGAUCCCUUGUCAUUGCAGUCUACAUCCCAGCAAGGUGAGUCUGUAAACCUGGGUGAGAAACAUCUUCAUAGUGUAGCAAAGAAGUGAGGGAAUAAAUGGCAGCAAGUUGGAAGGGAAUUAAGAAUCAAACAAGUGGACCUGGAUGUUAUCAAAUACAAUUACUCUAAUGAUGUUGUAGAACAGAGUUUCCAGAUGUUGUAUAAAUGGUUUACAAGUUGCGAUCCACCGAAACGUACGCUUGGAACUUUAAAGGAUGCUCUUAAUAAAACGGAGUGUUUCGAUGCACAUCUGUCAUUAGACGUAAAUUGAAU